AUAACGACUCUCGGCAACGGAUAUCUCGGCUCUCGCAUCGAUGAAGAACGUAGCGAAAUGCGAUACUUGGUGUGAAUUGCAGAAUCCCGUGAACCAUCGAGUCUUUGWACGCAAGUUGCGCCCGAAGCCAUCAGGUUGAGGGCACGUCUGCCUGGGCGU
RNAcentral lists this ribosomal RNA (159 nucleotides) under Streptocarpus primulifolius. RNAcentral's name for it is "5.8S ribosomal RNA". It matches the Rfam family "5.8S ribosomal RNA". From Rfam's summary of the family: 5.8S ribosomal RNA (5.8S rRNA) is a component of the large subunit of the eukaryotic ribosome. The record is from RNAcentral. Lineage: Eukaryota; Viridiplantae; Streptophyta; Magnoliopsida; Lamiales; Gesneriaceae.